RNAcentral lists this ribosomal RNA (800 nucleotides) under uncultured rumen bacterium. RNAcentral describes it as "bacterial SSU rRNA". It matches the Rfam family "Bacterial small subunit ribosomal RNA", at positions 88 to 889 of the family's 1533-position model. The record is from RNAcentral.
GCGUCGACCGGCGCACGGGUGAGUAACGCGUAUCCAACCUGCCCAUAACUAAGGGAUAAUCCGUAGAAAUGCGGUCUAAUACCUUAUGUGAUCCGAGGAAGACAUCUGAUUUGGAUUAAAGAUUUAUCGGUUAUGGAUGGGGAUGCGUCUGAUUAGAUUGUUGGCGGGGCAACGGCCCACCAAGUCUGCGAUCAGUAGGGGUUCUGAGAGGAAGGUCCCCCACAUUGGAACUGAGACACGGUCCAAACUCCUACGGGAGGCAGCAGUGAGGAAUAUUGGUCAAUGGGCGGAAGCCUGAACCAGCCAAGUAGCGUGCAGGAUGACGGCCCUAUGGGUUGUAAACUGCUUUUAUACGGGGAUAAAGUGGGCUACGUGUAGCUUAUUGCAGGUACCGUAUGAAUAAGGACCGGCUAAUUCCGUGCCAGCAGCCGCGGUAAUACGGAAGGUCCGGGCGUUAUCCGGAUUUAUUGGGUUUAAAGGGAGCGUAGGCCGUGGAUUAAGUGUGUUGUGAAAUGUAGGCGCUCAACGUCUGACUUGCAGCGCAUACUGGUUCACUUGAGUGCGCACAACGCGGGCGGAAUUUGUCGUGUAGCGGUGAAAUGCUUAGAUAUGACGAAGAACCCCGAUUGCGAAGGCAGCUCGCGGGAGCGCAACUGACGCUGAAGCUCGAAAGUGCGGGUAUCGAACAGGAUUAGAUACCCUGGUAGUCCGCACGGUAAACGAUGGAUGCCCGCUUUUCGGUCAUAAGACCGUGAGGCCAAGUGAAAACAUUAAGCAUCCCACCUGGGGAGUACGCCGGC